Molecule: long non-coding RNA, 1679 nt
Organism: Spinacia oleracea (spinach)
Lineage: Eukaryota; Viridiplantae; Streptophyta; Magnoliopsida; Caryophyllales; Amaranthaceae
Exons: 3
Source: RefSeq, a predicted model, not a curated record
GAUAACAUAUUAAUAACCAUAAACUAUCAAUAUCGACAACUAACAUUUCAAUCUUUUUUAUUAAAAUGUCAUUUUGGAUGAUUUACGUUAAUUUUAUAGUUUAAGUAAAUGAAAUUAGUUAAAAGUAAAUGAACUUGUGGUGUGUCACGACAACAAAUUGUAUUCCUAUCAAAGCAAGUACUAUGUUUGAACCAACAAGUAUUAUGAUGAGGUUAAUUAUAUACCAUGGAUGAAGGUGUUUAAGCAGGUAUGUUUCUUGUCUGAAAUUGACUGACCCAGCUGUUCACACUUUUGUUCCUGGCCCUAGAGAUUCUCACUCUCUCAUUUUGUCUCAAAUUCCCUGGUAUUAUUUGUGGUGGAUGUGAAGGAGGUUCGAGCUGGGAUUUUACCCAGAUUUGUGUGAUCUGGGUAAAUCAUCAUUUGAUUAAUCGUUUAUUAAAGGGCAGAAUAUGUGCUGCAGCUCCUCGACCUGGCGUUACACGACAACUUAGGUAAGCAGUUUCUGGAUUUUCAUCAUGUCUGCAAUCUGGGUAACAGGUGAAACGAGCACAUGAAAUCCUCUAUUCAGGUAUACAGGUUAUGUUACUUCUUCUUACUGGUGCUAUAAGCAGAAAACUGCAGCAUCAGAAUGUUACUUCUUCUUGCGAUGUUUUAUUCCUCACGUCUUUGGAUAGUAUGAUACUGAGCUACCUCUAUAAAAAAAAAAAAAAAUGAUACUGAACUACUUAAAGAAAAAUACAGGAUCUGUUAACGAAAUGAUAUUGGCUUGAAUCCCUAACCCUUCCUUAAUAUAUGUUGUGACCAUAUUGUGGCUAUCAUGUAAGCGUAUGUAUUUAAGAUUUGUAAUCCGGUAUGCGUUGGAUACAGAGGCACUGCGGCUUCUCUCCUUGAAUGACAACGAAUAUUUGUUUUAACCCACCAUCAAUAAGUUCGUCUUGGGUGUGUCUUGUAUUAUCUUCGUCAUGCUAUCCUUUUCAACACCAUCUUGUUUUUUGUGCCAUGAACACGAUCUUUUAUGCAAUUUCAUUUAUGUUAAAAUGAACAAAUCCAAAAAAUGCAGUAGUGCAAAAUGCAAAAUGCAAAAUGCAAAAUGAAACAAUUUACGCUAUGAACUCUUUGAUAAAUGGAUAUGCUCAUUGUAUUUGCUAGUAAUUGAGUGGGAAUUAGGAAAGGGCUCAUAUGGUAGAGUGCUGUGGGGUGCUUUAAAAUGGGCGUGCAGCAGCAACAAAACUGGAUGCAAGCAUACAACCAGAUACGAAUUUUUAGCUCAGGUUUCUAUGGUUUCAAGGCUAAAACAUGAAAGUUUCGUUAAAUUGCUUGUUCUGAUGUCCUGCUACGCUGCUGUUUUGCUAUUUUGUUCUACUCGGUCUGUUCCUGCUGAUUUGCACCUUUUUGUUGUGUGAUAUGCUAUCUUUUCUGCGCAAUGUUGGUGCUUUUUUUGAAGACUGAAGGUGGCUGCAAAUCUGAAGAGGAGUUACAUGUAGCACACAUUGUUGUCAGUUUGUAUCAAAACUAAAUUAGAGCAAUGUAACUUGGUUUGCCUUUGGUAAUUUUUUAUUUUUAUUUGUGUGGUUUAUUGUAGUUUUUGGUUUGUAGGUACUGCAAGGCCUAGGGUCUUUUUAUUUGGUUGAUCUUGUACAAAUAUUGGUUUGUUUUGGAUAAUUAUAUUACUUAUUAAA